UACAGAGGGGGCAAGCGUUGCUCGGAAUUACUGGGCGUAAAGGGCGCGUAGGCGGCCUGCUAAGUCGGGCGUGAAAUCCCUGGGCUCAACCCAGGAACUGCGUCCGAUACUGGUUGGCUUGAAUCCGGGAGAGGGAUGUGGAAUUCCAGGUGUAGCGGUGAAAUGCGUAGAUAUCUGGAGGAACACCGGUGGCGAAGGCGACAUCCUGGACCGGCAUUGACGCUGAGGCGCGAAAGCCAGGGGAGCAAACGGG
RNAcentral lists this ribosomal RNA (253 nucleotides) under uncultured bacterium. RNAcentral's name for it is "partial 16S ribosomal RNA". It matches the Rfam family "Bacterial small subunit ribosomal RNA", at positions 524 to 776 of the family's 1533-position model. The record is from RNAcentral.